GCUUGGUUGAGGUAGUGGUUAACCUGUCUGCCUCCCAGAUGAAAUAAAAUUGAGUGCGCAGGAAACGGGGAUUCGAAUUCCCCACCAAGCA
Non-coding RNA from Sclerotinia nivalis, 91 nucleotides. Lineage: Eukaryota; Fungi; Ascomycota; Leotiomycetes; Helotiales; Sclerotiniaceae. The record is from the annotation of a GenBank genome assembly.